CACACAAAUUUAUUUGUUGUUGUAUAAAUUACAAUAAUAUAAAUAUAAGUUUGGAAUGGAUCUGGAAUGGCUUUGAAAAUGGUAAGGGAAGAAGAAGAAACGAAAAUGCUCUGAAUGCCUCUGAUACUCCACCUCUGAUAAGGUGAAAGAAUAUAAUAGACAAUGGCACACUGUUUUGCAUGUGAAAGAAUAUCACGGACUCACAGUGGUACACGGUUUCAUUAUGAAAGCACUAUUAUUUGUUUUCCAUGGUCUGAAAUUGCAAAAAGUUAUUUGUAUCAUUGGAUCAGAGAGCUAGAGACAGGUUUUGAAUUAUUUAGAUCAUUGGAUGCUUUUUUUUUCUCACACGCCACCACACACACAGAGAGUCAGAGAGUGAGUCACACUCACAUGCCACCACACACGCACACAGAGAUCGAGAUUCGAGACCCCCCACACCACACACGUACACAGAAACUGAGCUCAGUCUCUCGAUCCUUCCUUCUUUCUUCUGAGUUCUGAGUCUUCUCCCUUCCUUCUCUCUUUUGAGUCUUCGCCCUUCCCUUCUCCCUUCUCCAGUUCUCCCACACAUACACACACAAACAUCAUCUCUCGAUCCAUCUCUCGAUCCUUCUCGUCCGCGUCUUCUGCCUCGUCGGCGUCGUCUCCAUUUCCCGUGCCGUGACCUCUACCUCAAAUCGGUCAUCCCCAUCGGCGCCCUCUACUUCCUUUCCCUCUGCUCCUCCCUCGCCUUCCUCCUCGUCGAGCCCAGACCUCCUAGACGGAAAAGAAGAAGGUUCUACCCUCCACCAAACCGCAAAAUUCAAACCCAUAGCUUAAUAUCUUAUCAGCCGGUGACCCUUUACACACAAACCCAAAAAAUCUCUUUUUCUCUCUCUCUCUCUCUCUUUAGUUUUUCCAGAAACCUCUAGCAAGGCUAGAUUCAGAUGCAGAUGCAAGUCGCGAUGCAGGUGCAGCUGCGAGUUUGAUGCAGGUGCAGCUCUCUCUCUCUCUAGUUUGACCAGAAACCUCUAGCAAGGCCAAAUUCAGAUGCAGACGCAAGUUGCGAUGCAGGUUCGCCAUCGCUGUCGGUGGUCAGGUCAACUCCCGGUCCCUCACCUUCUUACCUCUUCGAUUAAUUCAUGCAUAUGAAUUGUGGUUGUGUUUUCAAUCGCUUUGUAGCUUAGAUCUUGAUCUUAAUCGUGUUUUUGCAAGGUUUUUGGGACGAAAUUGGCUCGGGAAUCGGCACACCCAUUUCCGGCGUUCUUCUCUGAUUCGCAUGUAUCCAAAAUAUCACGAUAAUUUUGGAAAUAUUGCGAUAUUAUCGAUAUUAUCGAUAAUAUCGUGAUAUUUUUCCGAAAACCCGUCGGAUACCUAUUAAAAUAUCGGACCCGUGAAAAACCGAUAAUAUCGGCGAAAUAUUGCCGAUAUUAUCGGCAUUUUGUUCCAUGAGAGAGAGAGAGAGAGAGAGAGAGAGAUAUUCAAAUGUAAUCAAAGAACGUGAGAUUUGAAGAUAAUUUAGUAAACUAAACAUAAAAAUUAAGUAGGAAUUGAAUCUCCGAAGCAAAAUUUGAAUCUAAAAAUAGAGGAACAAAAACCCUUUUAAGCUAAAAUCUGUGUGAGGUUUUUCUGCUAAACUGGUGAUUGAAAAUAUAAAAGCCAAUAAUGUGAUAAAUCCCAAUUAAUAUAAAACCCAAUAAUGUAAUAAAUCCAAAAGAAAAACAUUCACAUCAUGCACUGGAAUGGAGUCUAAUUGGAUUCUU
RNAcentral lists this long non-coding RNA (1742 nucleotides) under Malus domestica (apple). RNAcentral describes it as "long non-coding RNA (MDOM_LNC020123)". The record is from RNAcentral. Lineage: Eukaryota; Viridiplantae; Streptophyta; Magnoliopsida; Rosales; Rosaceae.